This 253-nucleotide ribosomal RNA is filed under the name uncultured bacterium. Its description in RNAcentral is "partial 16S ribosomal RNA". It matches the Rfam family "Bacterial small subunit ribosomal RNA", at positions 524 to 776 of the family's 1533-position model. The record is from RNAcentral.
UACAGAGGGGGCAAGCGUUGUUCGGAAUUACUGGGCGUAAAGGGCGCGUAGGCGGCCUGCUAAGUCGAACGUGAAAUCCCUGGGCUCAACCCAGGAACUGCGUCCGAUACUGGCAGGCUUGAAUUCGGGAGAGGGAUGCGGAAUUCCAGGUGUAGCGGUGAAAUGCGUAGAUAUCUGGAGGAACACCGGUGGCGAAGGCGGCAUCCUGGACCGAUAUUGACGCUGAGGCGCGAAAGCCAGGGGAGCAAACGGG